CUACGGGUUGCAGCAGUGGGGAAUAUUGGACAAUGGGGGAAACCCUGAUCCAGCAAUGCCGCGUGUGUGAAGAAGGCCUGCGGGUUGUAAAGCACUUUCGGUUGGGAGGACUGCUUCUAGCACUAAUAUUGUUGGAAGUUGACGUUACCUUCAGAAGAAGCACCGGCUAGCUCCGUGCCAGCAGCCGCGGUAAUACGGAGGGUGCAAGCGUUAAUCGGAAUUACUGGGCGUAAAGCGCGCGGAGGCGGCUAGAUCAGUCGGGUGUGAAAGCCCCGGGCUUAACCUGGGAACUGCAUCCGAUACUGUCUAGCUUGAGUACAGGAGAGGAGAGUGGAAUUCCACAUGUAGCGGUGAAAUGCGUAGAUAUGUGGAGGAACACCAAUGGCGAAGGCAGCUCUCUGGCCUGAUACUGACGCUGAGGCGCGAAAGCGUGGGGAGCAAACAGGAUUAGAUACCCCCGUAGUC
RNAcentral lists this ribosomal RNA (465 nucleotides) under uncultured bacterium. Its description in RNAcentral is "partial 16S ribosomal RNA". It matches the Rfam family "Bacterial small subunit ribosomal RNA", at positions 339 to 795 of the family's 1533-position model. The record is from RNAcentral.